Molecule: ribosomal RNA, 87 nt
Filed under: Corallodiscus kingianus
Lineage: Eukaryota; Viridiplantae; Streptophyta; Magnoliopsida; Lamiales; Gesneriaceae
Description: partial 5.8S ribosomal RNA
Rfam family: 5.8S ribosomal RNA
About the family: 5.8S ribosomal RNA (5.8S rRNA) is a component of the large subunit of the eukaryotic ribosome. It is transcribed by RNA polymerase I as part of the 45S precursor that also contains 18S and 28S rRNA. Functionally, it is thought that 5.8S rRNA may be involved in ribosome translocation.
Source: RNAcentral
UGCAGAAUCCCGUGAACCAUCGAGUCUUUGAACGCAAGUUGCGCCCGAAGCCUUCCGGCCGAGGGCACGUCUGCCUGGGCGUCACGC